GUAUUAGAUUAAUUCUCUCUCUCUCUCUCUCUUUCAUUUGACAGAAUCUAUAAGACAAAACUAGGCAGCAGAUGGUCAGCAAGCUAGGAGAAGUUGCAGCACUAUGACUGGCCAGGCUGUGUUCUAGUGGAUUUCACCAAUCAUCUUUGGCCCUCACUUCCUUUACCUGCAAAUGACAAUGAUCUCAUGGAUCCCUCCCUCUGGAUUCUGGAAGAGAAAAUCUAGGGUGGAUGUAUCACUGCUCUGCUCUUGUGUGAAGUCCACACACGAACCGUGUAGGUGCUCCCAGGUCCACCCUACAUGCUGCCUUUGAGAGAGAAGUCAUCUCCAGGCCCAACAAAAACUUCCUUGGUGUCCACAGUUCCUCAUGCACUCCGCACUUUUGUCUCUCCUGGCAUACUUCACUACGUUCGGUAACCUGCCCA
RNAcentral lists this long non-coding RNA (425 nucleotides) under Fukomys damarensis (Damara mole-rat). Its description in RNAcentral is "lncRNA (ENSFDAG00000027069.1)". The record is from RNAcentral. Lineage: Eukaryota; Metazoa; Chordata; Mammalia; Rodentia; Bathyergidae.